GUAGAAUAUGUGGGCUGCAAGACCUCGGUGGUCACAUAAUGAAAAUUCCAAUUAUACUUUUCCAAGUCCUCCUCUGCAUGCGCCUGGAGGGAACACCUGCUGCUGCAAAACACAUUUCUCUUCCAGUUAUAUUCUUACCCAUAUUCCUAUUGCAAGGAGCUGGCAUCUUGUUUGCGACAUUAAGAUUUGUUGAGAAAACUGUUCUUUUAUUGCGAAGUGGAGCUGCUGUAGGACAAUACCAUGUGAUUUCUUCAAGAGUACGUGACUGCUUUGCAUUUAUGCAUCAUGGCUCCAGGCUACUUGGUUGGUGGUCCAUUGAUGAAUCAAGUCGAGAGGAACAAGCUCGACUAUACCAUGAUGGAUUUCCUGGGUAUAGUACUUUUUGUGGUUAUCCACCUGAAAUAGUCAAGAAAUUGCCCAAGAAGGAUCUUGCUGAGGAGGUUUGGAGACUUCAAGCAGCUCUGGGUGAGCAAGCAGAAAUCACUAAACUGAGCCAGCAGGAAUAUGAAAGACUUCAAAAUGAAAAAGUUCUAUGCAGGAUUUGCUUUGAAAGAGAGAUUAGUACAGUGCUACUCCCUUGCAGGCAUCGCGUCCUUUGCAGUUCCUGCUGUGAGAAAUGCGACAAUUGCCCCAUCUGCCGUGUCUGUAUCAACGAGCGCUUGCCUGUAUAUGAUGUCUAAGUUAAAUCCAUCAAGCUCUUCUGCCUUGUUAAAUGUCAAAUAUGAUACUCGGAAAUGUAGUUUACCAAAUUUUGGGGACUUAGACUGCACUAACGUAAUUAGGUAGGACAAAUUUUCA
Molecule: unclassified non-coding RNA, 798 nt
Filed under: Hevea brasiliensis (rubber tree)
Lineage: Eukaryota; Viridiplantae; Streptophyta; Magnoliopsida; Malpighiales; Euphorbiaceae
Source: RNAcentral